AAGGUGUACUGGAUUUGGUCAAUAUUUAUAUUUGUUUUAACCAAUAACUACAUUAAUAAACUUGUUUUAAUGAAAUCAAUGCUAGCACUGCAUGCACUAAUCCUAUGUCUAUCAGUCAUCAAAUUGCCAAAUAUGAGAGUACAAGAAUAAAGGCUGUGGGUUUUCUAUAAAAUUUCCAUAUGUUUAGCAUUGAAUCAACACAAGGG
RNAcentral lists this long non-coding RNA (206 nucleotides) under Mytilus galloprovincialis (Mediterranean mussel). Lineage: Eukaryota; Metazoa; Mollusca; Bivalvia; Mytilida; Mytilidae. The record is from RNAcentral.